This 600-nucleotide non-coding RNA is filed under the name plant metagenome. RNAcentral describes it as "partial contains small subunit ribosomal RNA and internal transcribed spacer 1". The stretch from base 83 to 423 matches the Rfam family "Group I catalytic intron". From Rfam's summary of the family: Group I catalytic introns are large self-splicing ribozymes. They catalyse their own excision from mRNA, tRNA and rRNA precursors in a wide range of organisms. The record is from RNAcentral.
AAAGUCGUAACAAGGUUUGGAAAAGUUGGAAGGUCCUUCCGUAGUAACACUCGAGAAGCCUUUGCAGCCAGAAAUGGUGGAAACCGCGACGUAAAACAAUGGUACCCCUGAAAUGCAAGUCUAGUGCGUAAUGAUCGCACGAAGGCAACACUGUCAAAUUGCGGGGAAGCCCUAAAGCUCUAGAUACCAAGUACUCUGUGGAAACACGGGUAUGGCCAGGUUAAUCGCCUCGGGUACGGUCACAACUCUAGAGAUUCUCUGUUACACAACAGAUAAUGGGUAAUCUGCAGCCAAGUCCUACAGCGCUUUAUUAUUUAUAUGGGAUAAAGCGUCACGGAUGCUGUUCACAGGCCAAAUGGCAGUGGGUUCGAGAGUACAACUCUCGGGCUUAAGAUAUGGUCGGGCCCCUUUCGAAAGUUUGGGGGGUUACAUAUAGUACAAUAAUGUUCCGUAGGUGAACCUGCGGAAGGAUCAUAAUCGAAGAUAAGAGUGCGCUUCAUUGCGGCUCGACCCUUCAUCCACUCACCCUGUGCACUGUAAUACCUUUUUCAUUAGACUCUACUAGUCAUUGAAUGUAACACUUUAAUAAAGUAAACAAAA